AUCAACUUUCGAUGGUAGGAUAGAGGCCUACCAUGGUGGUAACGGGUAACGGGGUGUUAGGGCACGACACCGGAGAGGGAGCCUGAGAAACGGCUACCACAUCCAAGGAUGGCAGCAGGCGCGCAAAUUACCCAAUCCCGACACGGGGAGGUAGUGACAAUAAAUAACAAUACGGGGUUCUUUCGGAUUUCGUAAUUGGAAUGAGUACAAUUUAAAUCUCUUAACGAGGAACAAUUGGAGGGCAAGUCUGGUGCCAGCAGCCGCGGUAAUUCCAGCUCCAAUAGCGUAUAUUAAAGUUGUUGCAGUUAAAAAGCUCGUAGUUGAACUUCGGGGUUUACUCAUUGGUCAGGCUUAAUUGUCUGCACUGUGAGAUGAAUCUCUACCUUCUGAGGAACUUUCAUGCCAUUUAUUUGGUGUGAUUGGAAAUCAGGACUGUUACUUUGAAAAAAUUAGAGUGUUUAAAGCAGGCUAACGUCUGAAUACAUUAGCAUGGAAUAAUGAAAUAGGACGGACUGAUUCUAUUUCGUUGGUUUCUAGGAUCACCGUAAUGAUUAAUAGGGAUAGUUGGGGGCAUUAGUAUUCAAUUGUCAGAGGUGAAAUUCUUGGAUUUAUUGAAGACUAACUACUGCGAAAGCAUUUGCCAAGGAUGUUUUCAUUAAUCAAGAACGAAAGUUAGGGGAUCGAAGACGAUCAGAUACCGUCGUAGUCUUAACCAUAAACUAUGCCGACUAGGGAUCGGACGAAGUUAAUUUUAUAAUGACGCGUUCGGCACCUUACGGGAAACCAAAGUGUUUGGGUUC
Molecule: ribosomal RNA, 800 nt
Filed under: uncultured Diversispora
Lineage: Eukaryota; Fungi; Glomeromycota; Glomeromycetes; Diversisporales; Diversisporaceae
Description: SSU rRNA
Rfam family: Eukaryotic small subunit ribosomal RNA
Source: RNAcentral